This 468-nucleotide ribosomal RNA is filed under the name uncultured bacterium. RNAcentral describes it as "partial 16S ribosomal RNA". It matches the Rfam family "Bacterial small subunit ribosomal RNA", at positions 28 to 507 of the family's 1533-position model. The record is from RNAcentral.
GACGAACGCUGGCGGCGUGCUUAACACAUGCAAGUCGAACGGAAAGGCCCUGCUUUUGUGGGGUGCUCGAGUGGCGAACGGGUGAGUAACACGUGAGUAACCUGCCCUUGACUUUGGGAUAACUUCAGGAAACUGGGGCUAAUACCGGAUAGGAGCUCCCGCUGCAUGGUGGGGGUUGGAAAGUUUCGGCGGUUGGGGCUGGACUCGCGGCUUAUCAGCUUGUUGGUGGGGUAGUGGCUUACCAAGGCUUUGACGGGUAGCCGGCCUGAGAGGGUGACCGGCCACAGUGGGACUGAGAUACGGCCCAGACUCCUACGGGAGGCAGCAGUGGGGAAUAUUGCACAAUGGGCGGAAGCCUGAUGCAGCAACGCCGCGUGCGGGAUGACGGCCUUCGGGUUGUAAACCGCUUUCGCCUGUGACGAAGCGUGAGUGACGGUAAUGGGUAAAGAAGCACCGGCUAACUACGUG